UAUAGGGCAGUAUAGAGACAUGAGGCCACAUUGAAAAAGCAAAGCUUGUCAUCCUAUGGCCUUGGGUCAAGAAUAGAGAUAGUGCUGCUCAUGUCAGUUUCAACCUCCAGUGGCCAAGGGUUUGAUCUGAUGCUCUUUCAAGUUUUCACCAUAGCCUUUCUCAAGCUCAAUGGCCAAUAAUCCCACAGGAGGAGAUUUUAGGGCCCUCUCAAACUUCUGUUUUGCUAUCUCUCCCCAGCCUGCUUCCUCUGCAAAAGUCACCACUUUGCCUGUGCAUCUACCACCUCUUAGAGCCUUUGGAAUCAGCCACGAAUUGCAGUGCUGAUUCCUUCCAUGACCACAUAUUGUUUACAGGAAAACUCUUCUUCGUUAUGCCUUGCCAGUCAGAGUGACGGUUUCAUCCGCAACCUGGACCAGGUUCGGGAAUAUUCUACACAUAAAUUUUCAGAUCCAGUUUUGACUAUUGUUAUGGGCUUAGUUGGAUGCCCCCAGAUUCCUACGUUGACGUCCUAACACCCAGCAUCUCAGAAUGUGGCAGUAUUCAGAGAUGGGAUUUUUAAAGAGGUGAUAAAGGGAAAACGAGCUCACUGGGGGUGGGCACCAAGCCAACAGGACUGGUGUGCUUACAGGAAGAGGAGAUUAAGACACAGACAAUACAGACUGAAGGACAAUCGUUUGAAGACAGAGUGGAGAACACAGCUAUCUGCAAGCCAAGGAGAGACGUUUGAAGAAUCGAACCCUAUUGCCACCUUGAUCUUGGACUUCCAGCGCCCAGAACCAUGAGAAAAUAAAUUGUAUGUUGCCUAAGCCA
Molecule: long non-coding RNA, 811 nt
Organism: Mustela lutreola (European mink)
Lineage: Eukaryota; Metazoa; Chordata; Mammalia; Carnivora; Mustelidae
Exons: 2
Source: RefSeq, a predicted model, not a curated record